AGCGGCGGACGGGUGAGUAACACGUGGGUAACCUACCUGUAAGUCUGGGAUAACCCCGGGAAACCGGGGCUAAUACCGGAUAGGCACCACGUGCGCAUGCAUGUGGUGUGAAAGGCGGGUUUUGNCCUGCCGCUUACAGAUGGGCCUGCGGCGCAUUAGCUAGUUGGUGAGGUAACGGCUCACCAAGGCGACGAUGCGUAGCCGGCCUGAGAGGGUGACCGGCCACACUGGGACUGAGACACGGCCCAGACUCCUACGGGAGGCAGCAGUAGGGAAUCUUCCGCAAUGGGCGAAAGCCUGACGGAGCGACGCCGCGUGAGCGAGGAAGGCCUUCGGGUCGUAAAGCUCUGUUGUGAGGGAAGAAAGAGUGCAGGAGUAACUGUCUGCACGUUGACGGUACCUCACGAGGAAGCCCCGGCUUAACUACGUGCCAGCAGCCGCGGUAAUACGUAGGGGGCGAGCGUUG
This 466-nucleotide ribosomal RNA is filed under the name uncultured Bacillaceae bacterium. Its description in RNAcentral is "bacterial SSU rRNA". It matches the Rfam family "Bacterial small subunit ribosomal RNA", at positions 94 to 543 of the family's 1533-position model. Lineage: Bacteria; Bacillati; Bacillota; Bacilli; Caryophanales; Bacillaceae. The record is from RNAcentral.